RNAcentral lists this RNase P RNA (436 nucleotides) under Richelia sp. RNAcentral's name for it is "RNase P RNA component class A". It matches the Rfam family "Bacterial RNase P class A". Rfam says of the family: Ribonuclease P (RNase P) is a ubiquitous endoribonuclease, found in archaea, bacteria and eukarya as well as chloroplasts and mitochondria. The record is from RNAcentral. Lineage: Bacteria; Bacillati; Cyanobacteriota; Cyanophyceae; Nostocales; Nostocaceae.
GAGAGUAGGCGUAGGCGGUUACAGAUCGGUAGAAAUUACCGGUUUGAGGAAAGUCCGGGCUUCCGAAAGACCAGACUUGCUGGGUAACGCCCAGUGCGAGCGAUCGUGAGGAUAGUGCCACAGAAAAAUACCGCCUUAUUUCAGUUAUCAGUCAAUAGUUAUCAGUGAACCGUGAUGAGCUGAUAACUAGGAGUUGAUAACUAAAUCAGGUAAGGGUGCAAAGGUGCGGUAAGAGCGCACCAGCAACGUCGAGAGGCGUUGGCUCGGUAAACCCCGGUUGGAAGCAAGGUAAAAGGAGUUACGGUUGGUCUUUUCCCUACUCCGUUAAACUAGAGCCGCUAGAGGUGUUUGGUAACAAACAUCCCAGAUAGAUAACCGCCCUCAUGAGUUAAUAGACUGAUGAGAACAGAACCCGGCUUACUACCAACUCUCUCCU